RNAcentral lists this ribosomal RNA (253 nucleotides) under uncultured bacterium. Its description in RNAcentral is "partial 16S ribosomal RNA". It matches the Rfam family "Bacterial small subunit ribosomal RNA", at positions 524 to 776 of the family's 1533-position model. The record is from RNAcentral.
UACGGGGGGGGCAAGCGUUGUUCGGAAUUACUGGGCGUAAAGGGCUUGUAGAUGGCCAACUAAGUCAGACGUGAAAUCCCUCGGCUUAACCGGGGAACUGCGUCUGAUACUGGAUGGCUGGAGUGUGGGAGAGGGAUGCGGAAUUCCAGGUGUAGCGGUGAAAUGCGUAGAUAUCUGGAGGAACACCGGUGGCGAAGGCGGCAUCCUGGACCGGCAUUGACGCUGAGGCGCGAAAGCCAGGGGAGCAAACGGG